This 523-nucleotide ribosomal RNA is filed under the name uncultured eukaryote. RNAcentral's name for it is "eukaryotic LSU rRNA". It matches the Rfam family "Eukaryotic large subunit ribosomal RNA", at positions 727 to 1253 of the family's 3401-position model. The record is from RNAcentral.
UAAGAUGUGAGAUGUCAAAGUUGCAACAUCGACCAUUCCUGAACCUCCGGUGAAGGAUAUGAGUAAGAGCAUAAUCGGUAGGACCCGAAAGAUGGUGAACUACACUUGAGUAGGGUGAAGCCAGGGGAAACUCUGGUGGAGGCUCGUAGCGUUACUGACGUGCAAAUCGUUCGUCAAACUUGCGUGUAGGGGCGAAAGACUAAUCGAACCAUCUAGUAGCUGGUUCCCUCUGAAAUUUCUCUCAGGAAAGCUGGAACAGUUAAUGCAGUUUUAUCAGGUAAAGCUAAUGAUUAGAGGAAUCGGAGUCCUGUGGGCUUUGACCUCUUCUCAAACUUUAAAUUGGUAAGAACUCCGAGUUAUCUUAAUUGAACGAGGAGAAUCAAUGUAUUGUUCUUAGUGGGCCAUUUUUGGUAAGCAGAACUGGCGAUGAGGGAUGAACCUAACGCUGAGAUAAGGUGCCCAAAUUCACGCUCAUGAGAUCCCAUAAAAGGUGUUAGUUAAUAUAGACAGAUGGACUAUGGUC